This 74-nucleotide transfer RNA is filed under the name Nippostrongylus brasiliensis. It matches the Rfam family "tRNA". From Rfam's summary of the family: Transfer RNA (tRNA) molecules are approximately 80 nucleotides in length. Their secondary structure includes four short double-helical elements and three loops (D, anti-codon, and T loops). The record is from Rfam by way of RNAcentral. Lineage: Eukaryota; Metazoa; Nematoda; Chromadorea; Rhabditida; Heligmosomidae.
GUCUCAGUAGUGUAGUGGUUAACACGCGAGCACCGGAUUGCCACCAGACGCGGGUUUAAAUCCCGCUUGAGCCG